Molecule: transfer RNA, 64 nt
Filed under: Pseudanoplocephala crawfordi
Lineage: Eukaryota; Metazoa; Platyhelminthes; Cestoda; Cyclophyllidea; Hymenolepididae
Description: tRNA-Thr
Source: RNAcentral
UGGUUAUUUAGUUUAAUUAAAAUGUGGGUUUUGUAAGCCUAAGAUAGUGUGUUGCUAUUGACCU